UACGUAGGUGACAAGCGUUGUCCGGAUUUACUGGGCGUAAAGCGCACGUAGGCGGCCUCGCAAGUCUGAUGUGAAAUCCCUCGGCUCAACCGAGGACGUGCAUCGGAAACUGCGGGGCUUGAGUACUGAAGAGGAUCGCGGAAUUCCCGGUGUAGAGGUGAAAUUCGUAGAUAUCGGGAGGAACACCAGUGGCGAAGGCGGCGAUCUGGGCAGAUACUGACGCUGAGGCGCGAAAGCGUGGGGAGCAAACAGG
Molecule: ribosomal RNA, 253 nt
Filed under: uncultured bacterium
Lineage: Bacteria
Description: partial 16S ribosomal RNA
Rfam family: Bacterial small subunit ribosomal RNA
Source: RNAcentral